Felis catus (domestic cat) is the source of this 6444-nucleotide long non-coding RNA. RefSeq lists it as uncharacterized. The record is from RefSeq and is a predicted model, not a curated record. The transcript has 2 exons. Lineage: Eukaryota; Metazoa; Chordata; Mammalia; Carnivora; Felidae.
AAAAAAAAAGGUAUUCAUUAGAAUGAAAACAAAAAUCUAAUUAUCAGGAAAAAAUGAAAAACAUAUGCAUGGGAGGGGAUAAGGCUAAUUUGAAAGGCUUUUUUAACAAGUGUAAAAAAAAGCAAAACAUAAUAUGAUGCUGACACCAAAUAUAUUUAUCAUCAUAAUAAAUAUAAAUAAAUUAUCUCAACCAUUAAGAGAAAGUGAAGCCUAACUCUGUAUAAAAGACAUAACUGAAAAAGUGAUUCAGUGAUUCAGAAGGGAAAAUUGAAGGAUGGGCAAAAUUUUACUAAGCAAAUACAAGUAGAAAGGGAAGGUCAUAAUUUUAAUACCAGACAAGAUUGUAUUCAGGCUCCAAAUCACUAAAUGAUACAAAAAAGUUUACUUUCUAAAACAAGAUGAUAAAACUGAAAAUGAAAAUAUACUAGUUAUGAAUCUGUAUUGUAUACCAUAUAACUUGGAUACACUGUUCAAAGACAAAAACUAUUGAAAAAGAUUUCUGCUUUUCGUUUGGAUACAGGAAGUGACAAGAGAAUGUUCCUUCCCUCCUAAAAAUGAGAUACAGCUGGAUAACCUAAUAACAACAAUAACACUUUUCUUGAACCUAUCAGAGAGUUGAGUUGCAAGGCAACCUAUUGAACUGAAUUUUAAAAAAUCACAAGUUCCUCUAAAGAGAUGGAACACAUGAAAUGCUUCACCUUUGGCAGAGAAUGAGAGGAAGAUGUGACUUCCAUUAAAGCAGCAUUUUCUAUUUCUUGCAUGUCUUUUGGGAUACUGAACAGCUGAAACUACACUAAACCACAAAGAAAUCUGAGGUUACUAAAUAGUGUCAAGGAAUGUUCUGCAUCUCUUUCUCUCUGCCUUACAGAGAAUACUCCCAGACUCAGAGAAGUAAUAAAUGGAACAGGAUCUUCAGCACUUAAACAAUGUUGUCUAUGUUUGCAUUUAAAAGAUACUAAAUCCUUCAUACCAAAGGACAUGUUUUCUAUUAAACAUUUAAAUUUUUCACUUUGAAUAGAAGUCCAGUUGUAUUGAAAAAAAACAAAAAAAACAAGAAGCCUUCAAUAGCACCAUAAACCAAUAUCAUAGCAAAAAAAAAAAAGAUCCAUUUAAAAAGAAUAAUGGUGACUAUCAAAUAUAUAGAGUAGAAAAAAUUAUUGUGGGAAGACAAUGAGAUAUGGAGUCAGCCUGCACUGGUCUUAAAACUGAGUAUAGCUCGUCAUAGAAAAACUGAGCCCCCAUCUCCUUAGCUCUGAACUAGGAAUAACAUCAACUGGGCAGUUGUGACAAUCAAGUGACAUGAUUGGGCAUGCAUCAUAAUCCACAUCUGUUACUUAUGUAGUGAUUUGUGGUCUGAUCUAAAGUUUGUACUUUAGGCAAGUAGUCACAGUUAAAAUAGUAUGUUGACAGAAAUUUGAACUAUGUUGUUAGGGGACUAGUGUUAUGUGAAACCCAUGCAUGUCAAAAUGUGCAAAAUAGGACUGUCUACUCUCAAUUUUUUUUUUCCUACUGGCCUUUAUGCUAUUGUCAUAUAUUUAACUUUUACGUUGUAAACCCAACAUUGUUAUUUUUGUAUAGUCAAUUAUCUUAUAAAAGAUUUAAAUAAUUUUAAGAAUCUCAUACAUUAACCCAUGUGUUUAUCAUUUCCAGUGUUCAUCAUUCUCUUCUGUAAGCCCACAUUUUCAUUUAAUAUUUUCUGUCUGCUUGAAGGACAUCCUUUAAUAUUUCUUGUAGUGCCAGUGAUGAAUUAAUUCUUUCAGAUUUGGUAUGUCUGAAAACAACUUUAUCUCAUCUUUGCCUCUGAAAGACAUUUUGCUGGGUAUAGAAUUCUAGGUAGACAGGUUUUUUUCCUUUUAGUGUUUUCAAGAUGUUUAUCCAUUGUCUUGUCAGAUUGUUUCUAAUAAGAAUUCUGACAUAUUCAUCUUUGUUCCUUUGUUCUUCUCUUUUUUGACUGCUUCAUGAUUUUAUCACCAGUUAUGAUAUGGCUUGGUAGUUUUCUUCAUAUCUCUUAUGCUUGGAGUUCAUUGACUUUCUUCUAUUUGUAGGUUAAUAGUUUUCAUGAAAGUCUGGAAAUUGUUAGGCGAUUAUGUCUUGUUUGCUAUCCUCUCUGCCUUCCUCCUUCAGAGACUCUAAUUAAUCAUACAUUAGGCUACUUGAAAUUGUUCUACAACUCACUGUUCUUUUUUCUCAUUUUGAGUAAUUCCUAUUGAUAUGUCAAGUUCAUUAGUCACUAAUCUGCAAUGUCUAAUUGCCAUUAAUCCUAUCUACUGUACUUUCACCUCAGACAUUGUACCUUUCAUCUCUAAAAGUUUGUGUUUAGUCUUUUUAAUAUCCUCCAUGUUUCUACUUAGCUUUUUGAAUAUAUGUAACAACUGUGGCUGUUGUAAUGUUACCUGUUAAUUCUAACAUUGACAUCACAUCCAGGUUUCUUUGUAUGCCUAGUCAUCUUUAGAGGGCAGCCACUGUGAAUUUUAUCUCAUAAGUGCUGGGCAUUUGGGGUUUUUUUUAUAAGUAUUUUUGAGCUUUUUUCUAGGAUACAGUUGUAAUAUGGGAAUGGUUUGAUCCUUCUUGACCUUGCUUUUAUGAUUUGUUGGGUAGGGGGUACCAUAGUAGUGCAACCUAGCGCAAAGCAUUUCCUAUUACUAGGACAAAUUACUACCCAGUGACUUGUGGCUGGUGAGAACUGGCAUUGUUACUAGACCCUUGUGAGCACUGGACAAUGUUUGUUCUCUCUAAUCCUUUUGAAUAUCUCUUUCUUCAGCCUCCAUUUCCUCACAUGUAUGUGCUGCUCAGUACUGAGUUUAAUAAUCUUAAGGGGGAUCAUCUGCAGAUCUCUUCUCAGUGGUACUCUAUCCUGUGAACUCAAGCUAAUUUGGUUUCCCUAGACUCUCAGCUCCACUUUUUCACUCAGUAAGUCUACUGGGCUCUUCCUCAGUUCUUCUUCCUUGCAUCAUGUCCUGGAAACUCCCUCAAGGCAGUAAGCUGGGAAAAUCAUAGGGCUCCAUUUGUUUGUUUCCUCAUCCUCAGGGAUUAUUUUCCUCAUUGUCUGAGGUCAAGUCUUGAAGUCCAUUUUUUGACGUAGUUUGCUUAUUUCGUUCUUUCAGUAAGACAGGUACAUGCAGUCCUCAAUAUUCCAUCUUGGCUGGAAACAGAAGUUAUAUUUAUCUUUUAAGAAAUGACCACUUCUUGAGUUUUUGUGUAGUAUCAGAGAAGAAAAUCUAGAAUUAUCUGAAAACACUAUUACUUUUUCCUUUUCCCAACUACAAUCUGUGUGAGUUGGACUUCACAACAACAUAUUGUAACAAAUGCAGAAUACCACUCUUCUAUAUAAUGUGAAUCUAACCAGAAACCUUAACUUUAUUACCUGGAUCAGAGUUUUACUAGCAGUUUGAGGUAUGUCAUUUCAUCUUAAACUAGGCAACUAAGCUUUCCCCAAUAGAAUUAAAACCAGAACACCCAGAAGUUACAAAAUAGUGAAGUAAAAUGAAGACAUUUUAAGUAGCUAUACAUUUUAUGUAUUUCUCUACUCUUUUGUUUAGAGGUUGAAUGAAAAAGGUGAUCCCUAUGUGGAUUCAUAUAAUCAAUACCCACCCACAUGCUCACAUAAAAGUAUAGGAGUCAUCUGUAACAGCAACUGGGAUUGGGAAAAAACUCUCCUGAGCUAUAUACAAGUGAGCUACAGAAUUCCUGUGAGUUUUUGGCACACGUGCCUGAAAUGUCACAAUUCUUUCUUGUAUAUAUAAUUUCCAUAGACAAAUGAUUUUUAUGAACAGUUUCCAUGAAUGAUAGUAUGCUCAAUAGUUAAGAUCACAAUAUUUGAAAUCAGACUACUUGGGUUCAAACUCCAACUACUUUCUUAUUGUGUGACCUUGAGGAAGUCACUUAAUAUGCAUACUUCAGUGUCCUUUUUUUAUAAAAUGGUAGUAAAAGUGUUAUUUAAAUAGUUGUUUUGAGAAGUAAAUUAGUUAAUGUAAAUUUCUUAAAACCAUGCAUGGUAAAUAAAGCAUUUAGCAACUUAUAUAAAUUUUGCAAUUAUGGUUUCUUUUCAACCCUGUUGGCUAUUAGUCAAUGAACUUUAAAUGCACACAUAUCUGAAAUCUACCCCUAGAGGUACUCAUUUAUGAAGUCUAAGAGAAGGCACAAGUUUGUUGUUUUGUUUUUGAGUCCCACAAGUGAUUCUGAUCACUACAACCUGGCAAGAACUGAAAAUCAUAAUCAGACUUUAAAUUAUCACUUACAGUAAUCAGUGUUAGGCUAAAUUUAAAUUGUUUCUUGAAACAUUUUCUAAUCCUGGAUAGCUCAGGGAAUCAGAUUGCUUCAAGUAGGAGGAGGCAGAAUCUGCCAUCAGAAUAUAUCUAAAUUCAUAAAAUAUUUGAUAAGUAACCACUGAAUAUCAGUACUGGGUAUACAGAGAGAAGUAAGGUGCCUCUGUUCUCAGGAAUGUAAAAGUUAGUGAUAACAGAGUAGCAUAUAAGCACUAUUUCCUAAGGUGUGGUACAUGCCUGCAUACCACUGACUCUUUGUGUAAUAAGCAACCCAAGUCUUCCUGGGAUGAGGUUUGCCUAUCUGCAGCAAGAAAGAGUAGUGACAGAUGAACUUUAUUCUGUAGUAGACUUUCCUGCAAUAAUGGCAUUAUCACUGUCAGCUUUUCUAUAGCCAGCCUGAGCCGAACUUGAGCUGGAAUAGAGCUGCCAGGCCUACCAAUUGCCCUUUCUUUGUGUGGAAACAGAUUUAAUAGAGAUUGGAAAGAGCCAAGCCAGAGAAACUACGCAGCCCUCUGUGUGCUCACCAAAGAGCCACUGACUCCACUAUUUCCAACAAUAGCUAUGAGAAGAAUCGGGAUAGGAAAGGAGAAUUUGAACAGGAGUAACCCUAGAAAACCAAUCAUGUUCAGGUUGAAAUGUGCUGGGCCAUUUACUAUUCCACCUACCAGCCAUAAGUACUGUAAAGUUUCCUUUUAAAGUGAAAAGUCAUCCCUUUAAGAAAAGUAUUCAGUAAAUGGCAGUAUAGGCUGUGUGAAAAUAUGGCAACACUAGGAAGAAAAUACAAAAUAAGAAGUUGUAGAAAUAUUACCAGGACACAUAUACACCUGAAUAACAUAUAUGACAUUACAGGAUUGCCCCCAUGAAACAUCUAAGAAAUGUUACCACCAUCAUCAGAAAGAAAUCAAUUUCAGUGAGAAUGGUCAGGUAUGAGUUUCAAAGAAACUGAGAUUUAUUAGGCUGAGUCUUAAAGAAGGGACAGAAUUGGCUAAAGGCACGGGCUAUAGAGGAAGCAAAUGGCAGGAAGGGAAGAACUUAAACAAAGGAAGAGAUAUCCAAAGCAUAGUAAGAACACAGUGAAGCCACUUUAGAAAAAAUAAAGAAUCUCAGUUCAUCAUUUCUUACAUAGAAAAUUUACCUAUAUUUAUUUAGGGUCUUUAUUAUAUAUUUUUGGACAAAUAAUAAAGGUUACCUAGAAUAUGUUAUUUCACUAUAUACAUGAAUAUACAAUUUUUGAAGUGGUAUAUCUUUAUAUAGCAAUACCUUAAAAUGCAUGAAUUAUAUUGAUACUAUCAUAUAGCUCUAAGACACCAGAGUAGUGGUGAACAUACUAAUAAGUGUUUCACAUCUAUAACUUUCAUCAGGUCUCCUAAAGCCAUUUAGGAUACAUAAAGCAUUCUUACUGCCCUUAUGACUUCUGCUGAGAUUUUCAAUUCUAGUUUAGAGAAUUUUAGACAGGCAAAUAGAAACAACAGAGUAAUAGAGAAAAACAAAUUGGUAAAAGUCAGAAAAUUUAAUCAAAGGAAAAUUUAAUAGUUGUAGGAAAACUGAAAAGAGAAAGAUUCUCAUUUUUAUAUCAUGGAAUGAUAAAAUUCUUUAAUACAAGAAACAAUGAGAUUAUUAAACAGACCUUAAUGUACUUUUUGUUACUAUUUUUUUAGUUUUAUACUAUGAAAUAAUUAAUGCUCCUACAAACAAGUUAUUUUAAAUACUGAUUAAUACUCUGUAGCAAUUGGCAUAAUUGUCUAGGUGUUCAUUAGAAUGAUAGCAAUCAUUCUAAUCACAGAACAGCUUUAACUUGCCUUGUGACUUUCAGAACAGUAUCCAUUUCUCACCCAUACAAUAAAGAAGCUGGACCAGAUGACAUCUAAAGUUUCUGACAAUUCUAAAUGUUAAUAUUGCUAUAUAACUUAGCCAGUCUUUCUUUUUUUCUAAACUUCUUAAAUCAGCAUUUCCCUAAAAUUAGUGAAAGCUUUCCAAAAUGCAUCAUGUUUUAGAAAAUUAAAAUUAAAAUCUAUUUCAGACUAGGAAUUGAAAAUAGCAAUUUCCUUACAAAUAAAUCGAAGUCCUUUAUUUCCCACCAACCACGUUUCUAAGAAAAUGGAAGUAUUUUUAAGAUUCAGAAAUCUAUAAAAUCUUUAAGAUACAGUUACUGAAAGUAAAACUAAAAAAAAAAAAAAAA